AGAAAAGAAGCAGGGAGAUUAAAUUCUUGUCGAUUUCGCGGUCAAGUCUUGGGAGGAUAAGAUCUUAGGCGCGGUUACACGCAGCCACCGGUAACGGAUAAGGAUCACGCGAUACUUAGAAACAAGGCUUUCAGCCUUGUUUUUUUUU
RNAcentral lists this small RNA (148 nucleotides) under Rhizobium sp. Root482. RNAcentral describes it as "Alphaproteobacterial sRNA ar9". It matches the Rfam family "Alphaproteobacterial sRNA ar9". The record is from Rfam by way of RNAcentral. Lineage: Bacteria; Pseudomonadati; Pseudomonadota; Alphaproteobacteria; Hyphomicrobiales; Rhizobiaceae.